Molecule: ribosomal RNA, 253 nt
Filed under: uncultured bacterium
Lineage: Bacteria
Description: partial 16S ribosomal RNA
Rfam family: Bacterial small subunit ribosomal RNA
Source: RNAcentral
UACGUAGGGAGCAAGCGUUGUCCGGAAUCAUUGGGCGUAAAGCGCGCGUAGGCGGCCCGAUAAGUCCGCUGUAAAAGUCAACGGCUCAACCGUUGAAAGCCGGUGGAUACUGUCGGGCUAGAGUACGGAAGAGGCAAGUGGAAUUCCUGGUGUAGCGGUGGAAUGCGCAGAUAUCAGGAGGAACACCCAUAGCGAAGGCAGCUUGCUGGGACGUUACUGACGCUAAGGCGCGAAAGCGUGGGGAGCGAACAGG